Molecule: ribosomal RNA, 424 nt
Filed under: uncultured bacterium
Lineage: Bacteria
Description: partial 16S ribosomal RNA
Rfam family: Bacterial small subunit ribosomal RNA
Source: RNAcentral
AAUUUUGGACAAUGGGGGAAACCCUGAUCCAGCCAUCCCGCGUGUUUGAUGAAGGCCUUCGGGUUGUAAAGUACGUUUGGCAGAGAAGAAAAGGUAUCGCCUAAUACGUGAUACUUCUGACGGUAUCUCCAGAAUAAGCACCGGCUAACUACAUGCCAGCAGCUGCGGUAAGACGUAAGGUGCAAGCGGUAAUCGGAAUUACUGGGCGUAAAGAGUGUGUAGGCGGAUCGGAAAGAAAGAUGUGAAAUCCCAGGGCGCAACCUUGGAACUGCAUUUUUAACAGCCGAGCUAGAGUAAGUCAGAGGGGGGUAGAAUUCCACGUGUAGCAGUGAAAUGCGUAGAUAUGUGGAGGAAUACCGAUGGCGAAGGCAGCCCCCUGGGAUAACACUGACGCUCAGACACGAAAGCGUGGGGAGCAAACAGG